Non-coding RNA from Triticum urartu, 238 nucleotides. The record is from RefSeq and is a predicted model, not a curated record. NCBI's taxonomy places the organism in Eukaryota, Viridiplantae, Streptophyta, Magnoliopsida, Poales, Poaceae.
GGUAUCCAUCAGGGUGGCCAGGCUAACCUUGUUUCUUCUUCAUCCUGGAAUAUUCUCCUGCAUAUAAUUGGGGAUCUUCUCAUGUGCUAUAUUCUGCGGCAUUCAUCAGUCUUUUUGCCCAUUAAAAAGAGUGAUUACUUUCAGGUGACUGGUGUUCCACUCAACAUUGUUCUGCGCAAGCCUAUAUUUGCCAGUACCAUGGCAAGAAAACAACAAUCCAGAUCUACAAAAGUCAAAU